RNAcentral lists this ribosomal RNA (502 nucleotides) under uncultured bacterium. Its description in RNAcentral is "partial 16S ribosomal RNA". It matches the Rfam family "Bacterial small subunit ribosomal RNA", at positions 30 to 523 of the family's 1533-position model. The record is from RNAcentral.
AUUGAACGCUGGCGGAAUGCUUUACACAUGCAAGUCGAACGGCAGCAUAGGUGCUUGCACCUGAUGGCGAGUGGCGAACGGGUGAGUAAUACAUCGGAACGUGCCCAGUCGUGGGGGAUAACGUAGCGAAAGUUACGCUAAUACCGCAUACGAUCUAAGGAUGAAAGCGGGGGACCGUAAGGCCUCGCGCGAUUGGAGCGGCCGAUGUCAGAUUAGGUAGUUGGUGAGGUAAAGGCUCACCAAGCCGACGAUCUGUAGCUGGUCUGAGAGGACGACCAGCCACACUGGGACUGAGACACGGCCCAGACUCCUACGGGAGGCAGCAGUGGGGAAUUUUGGACAAUGGACGCAAGUCUGAUCCAGCCAUUCCGCGUGCAGGACGAAGGCCUUCGGGUUGUAAACUGCUUUUGUACGGAACGAAAAAGCUCUUACUAAUACUAGGAGUCCAUGACGGUACCGUAAGAAUAAGCACCGGCUAACUACGUGCCAGCAGCCGCGGUAA